UUAGGCGCUCUUAGGUUUGGGGAGAGAGAGGAAGUGGCGGGGCUGGGGGACGGGAAGGGAAGGAGGGUAAGAACUGAGAGAGAGAAAGAGCGGGUGUUUGCUUUUAAGGCAACUGAGGGAAAGGCGAGGGGAGGAGAAGGUGGAGGAGGAAGAAAAGCAGGAGGAAUACAAGGAAGGGGAACCCAGCAGCGAGAGCAGCUUAGACAAGACGUGACCUAGAUUGGCGUGAAACUAACUUGGCAUCUUCCAACCUUGUGGAAUCUCAUAGUUGUGCUACAAUCCUAAGCAUGUCCAUUCAGAAUAAGUUCUAUUGAAUCUCCAAGACAGCAGGUUUUCUAAAAGGGAACUGAAGAAACAACAUUUACUCCCAUUAUGUUGGAUAAGAAAAGGGCAUCGGAUGUUAAUUAGCCAAAGACCUGGGAGAAGAGGUACGUUUACGCCUGGUGCCUGAAGGUGAAUAAUGAAGGCGCCAGGUGAGCCUCCCUGGGGAGAGCAUUCCACAAAGGGGAGCCACUGCAGAAAAGGCCUGUUCUCGUGUUGCCACCUUCUGGACCUCUCAUGGAGGAGUAGAAAAGCCUGUGAAUUCAAACUUCCCAGUUAUAUCCUUUCUAGGUAAAGGGACCCCUGACCAUUAGGUCCAGUCGUGACCGACUCUGGGGUUGCGGCGCUCAU
Molecule: long non-coding RNA, 672 nt
Organism: Podarcis muralis (Common wall lizard)
Lineage: Eukaryota; Metazoa; Chordata; Lepidosauria; Squamata; Lacertidae
Source: RefSeq, a predicted model, not a curated record